RNAcentral lists this non-coding RNA (31 nucleotides) under Mus musculus (house mouse). The record is from RNAcentral. Lineage: Eukaryota; Metazoa; Chordata; Mammalia; Rodentia; Muridae.
UGAGCCGAUGUUGAACCAGCUGAGGAUAGGC